Bombyx mori (domestic silkworm) is the source of this 2302-nucleotide long non-coding RNA. RefSeq lists it as uncharacterized. NCBI's taxonomy places the organism in Eukaryota, Metazoa, Arthropoda, Insecta, Lepidoptera, Bombycidae. The record is from RefSeq and is a predicted model, not a curated record. The transcript is spliced from 2 exons.
UUAGAGCAACUUUUAGCUUUAUGAGAAUAUUAGACGAUUAGACAUUGAGAAACUCUGUUUUGAAUUCUCUUUAGACAUAGCUUGGCUCCAAUACUUUUUUCUUCGUUAGCGUUUCGUAAGCCUGUGUAACUAUUUUCAUUUCUUACAGAAUGUUUAUUAUUAAAAAUCAGCAUGCCUCGAAGAUCGAAAAUGAAAUGCUAUUUCGGAUGCCUUGAUAACGGUGAGUUUACACUAUUUUCCCGGUAUAUUAUUUGCUAACAGAAUUAUUAUUCAUAAUAUAAUUAAAUGAAUUAGCACCAACUAAUGGUCCUUCCUAUUUCUGCUGCCUAGCUAUCAUAUAUGUUAAGUUUUGAUCAAAACAGUCGGUAUUAAGUCUCGUACUAUCACACACACACCUCAGAUAAUAAAAUUGUCUCGAGUGGGUGGAAGUAUUUAUGUUUUGCAACUCAGCGUAUUAUAUGCUUAUUGUCAAGUGGGCCCGAACUAGUUUUUUGGAAUGAUCAAUCAGUCAUGCUUUCCUGUUUAAAUAAAAUACAGCACAAUUGAUCUCACAUCCAAAGUUAGAUGAUGGCAUUCACGUUUUGUUUCCUGGUGUUUGAUAACUAAGUUACACCAAGUGGCCUGUGACCACGUUCAUCCUUCUACCCAAUAUAAAAUAAUGUUUUUAUUUUUGUAGACAAAGGUUUGAUAAUGACAAAAUUUUAUGGAAAAAUUAAAGGAGCACUAAAAUGUCUGAAACAUGAAAAGAUUGAUGCACUAUAUUUGAACCAGAACGUGUUAUGUAAUAUAUUAAUUUAAGAGAAACUGAUUCAGCAAGGAACGUGAACUCUCAAGGGAUCUUAUUUUUUUUAAAUAUGUUUAUAAUUGAUAAAUUAAUAAUUGAAAUAGUUCAUAAGAACUAAAUUGAUGCCAAUUUUGUUUUAAAAUAGAUUGUUUAGUUCUUAUAGUUAUAGUAUUACGUUUGAAUAGUUGUAAUUAGUAAGUUAGUAAUAUAUGAAAAUACUGAUAUAAAUUUUUGUAAAUAACCUUUUGUAAAUUCUACGAGAAGAUGAUUUUAAUUAAUGAUCAAAAGUCAACGGUCUUUAAAAGCAUUAUUUGCAAUUAUUUAGAUUAACUGUGGAAUAUAUUUGCUAAGUUGUGUUUUCUGUAUGAGCAGAUAUAAAUGAAAAUGCCCAAACAUGAUUAUGUUUCUUACAUUUUCAUUAUGUGAAAUCAAUAUGCUUGUGACUGAGUAUAUUAAUAAUUUAUUAAAACUUAAGUGAUAGACAGCAACCCCUAUGGCACUGCUGAAGUUUAUAAGCACUGGUGACCACUUAUCAUGGGCCGGGUUGCGUGCUCGUCUGCUGUUGAGUGCAAUAAAAAUUUUCGAAACCCUUUCUAUUAUUUAGAUGUAAUAUUAGUGUACAUUUAAUUUGGAUUAAAAGAUAAAUUUACAUUUUAUGUUUGCAUGUGUAUGUUUAUAAUUCAUUUGCAUGUAACGAACACCAGUUUCUUUUGUAACAAAAUGUAAACUAAUGGUUUGUAAUGAAUGUAAUUAACUUUAAGAUGAUUUUCUUUCAAUCUGCUGUUUGUUUCAUCUAGUAUUACCAAAGCUAAAGCAUCAGAAACGUCAGAAUAGAAAUAAUUUAGAUAGGGAAUAAAAGUAUAACUAAUGUAAUCAUGUCUAAGAUUACUAUAAGCGUCAUUAAGUACAAACUAUCAAUAUUUAAGAGUACUUUAAAUCAUCAUUACAUUUUUUAAACAUUUUUUGUUUUUCAAAUCAUGUAAUAAAACGUUUGUGCAGAACAAAAUGUCACAUGUUAUGAACAUGAUUGUGGGUUAAUCGUUUCUUAAAUUUCUAAAUGUUUAUAAGAAUGCUAAGAAUAAUUUAGUAUUCACUUUAGUGUGUGUAUUAUCUCUACAAUGCUAGUAUAAAUGACAAUUAUUGUAUGACGAAGCAUAGGUAGUGUUUAUAGAUGUAAUAUUUUCAUACAAGGUCAUGAUCUGUCACGAUCAACUUUAAGCAAGAACUGCUAUAGUUAAGAAACAAAUUUAUUAAAUUUAAUUCAAAUUGUCUACUAUGUUUGUAAUGGAAAGCUGACAUGUUUAUAUUUCGCACAAAUGACUUAAGUGACAUUGAAUGAUUUGAUUAUCUAGACUUAAUUAACUUUUAGAUAACUUUCGAUUUAAUGUUAUUAAGUACUCUAGUAGGAUUAAUCUAGAGGAGUUAUUGUUAUUCGAAAUUUUAUACAAUUGUACGUUCAUACUAUCUUUUAACAGUAAAUUGUUUGUAAUAUAGGGAAAUUAAAUAGCUUACAGAGAA